RNAcentral lists this transfer-messenger RNA (247 nucleotides) under Flavobacterium sp. RNAcentral describes it as "partial transfer-messenger RNA". It matches the Rfam family "transfer-messenger RNA", at positions 118 to 374 of the family's 374-position model. From Rfam's summary of the family: Bacterial tmRNA, also known as 10Sa RNA or SsrA, is named for its dual tRNA and mRNA-like properties. Lineage: Bacteria; Pseudomonadati; Bacteroidota; Flavobacteriia; Flavobacteriales; Flavobacteriaceae. The record is from RNAcentral.
UCAGUGAUUAAGUAGUCAUUAGGGCCGCCGGGCCGGUUGUUCCGUUACCACGCCCCGCCGCCGACUUAAAAACAAACACGGGAUGCUGCUUCAGUAGGCUGUGCCUGAAGCCUAAGACCAUCCAGCUAAGUGAUAUAUUGGUUUGUUCAUUCCCUGUAUAUCGCCGACAAGCAAUAAUGAAAUAAACAUGUAGAAAGCUUUCGACGGAUAUGUUUGGACAGGGGUUCGAUUCCCCUCAGCUCCACCU